Molecule: ribosomal RNA, 292 nt
Filed under: uncultured bacterium
Lineage: Bacteria
Description: partial 16S ribosomal RNA
Source: RNAcentral
GGACUACUGGGGUAUCUAAUCCUGUUUGCUCCCCACGCUUUCGUGCCUCAGUGUCAGUGCUGGUCCAGGUAGCCGCCUUCGCCACUGGUGUUCCUCCCGAUCUCUACGCAUUUCACUGCUACACCGGGAAUUCCACUACCCUCUACCGCACUCUAGCUUGCCAGUAUCCACUGCCAUUCCCAGGUUGAGCCCAGGGCUUUCACAACGGACUUAACAAACCACCUACGCACGCUUUACGCCCAGUAAUUCCGAGUAACGCUUGCACCCUUCGUAUUACCGCGGCUGCUGGCAC